CCCGAAGCAAGCUGCCCUGCAGCAGCUGAGCGCCUGUGUCGCGCACCACCCUGCGAGAGCCGAGAGGACCCAAGGUCAAUAAACAGCGUCCUCCCGUGAGUCUGGGAUGUGCCACGAGAGCCGCGGCUCCUGCAGGACCAGAAGGGACAGAAGAAUAUAAACAGGCUGAGAACAUGGGAGAAACGGAUCUGUGUAAGACUGUCCCCAGAACACACACAUCUGAACAUCCCCACCGCGUGACCAGUAUCCAGACUGGGAUGAGACCAUCACCAGGACCAGAGAAGCUUCCCUCAUGCGCCAACCCAGGGCCCACCCCCAAAGGUGGCAUUCCAGGCAGAAGGCAGAGCACAGGCUGCACACCCCAGAGGCUCCACAUACGGGACCCUGCUUGGGAAAGCAGAAGGAGCUGCUCCGUUGUGGUGGAGAGGGACCGCUCUCACGAACCCAGGGCCCGGAAAUCGGGAUCAGAGAAGACAGCCUUCCAGUUCCAUGCAACAGACCUUAAAAUCCCCGCAGGAAAACUGUUCAUGCCUUUGGCCUUGGAUCUGUUUGUACUGGAAGAAAACCCAUCCUCCAUCCUGGCCUGCUGAGAAAGUGGCUGCCAGGCCCCAUCAGCCUGCGACAGACAGAGCCCCACGGAGCACGGUCGGCCGCCACCGUGCACAACCAGCGCCCCUUACACGCUUGGCACUGGGGACACAGAGCCAUGAAGAAGAGCUCAGCAAACACGUGUGUUGCAGCCUCAGUAUGAAACAUGCAGUGGGAAGCCACGCACUAGGCUUCGAGGUGGCUUUUAAUUGCUUGUUCCAAAGACGCCAGCCCGUGAAUCACUUUCUGACUUUUCUCCUCCCUAAUUAGACCGGGAAGCUGCCGUGGUACAUACGCUGCUCACUUUAGUUAUAAGUGAGUGACACAAACAUUGUGAAAGAAAACACCAUCCGUCAGGAACACAGUAACAGAUCCGAGAAAAAUUACUAACAAUUAGCCCGGACUCUGUGCUGGCUUCACAUAAAAGGUCACAAGCAAGGUCUUUGUUCAGAAGAAUCUUUAUUUUGAAAUCCUGACCGCCCAAAACAGAGCCCUGCACACACAUCCUGUACCCUGAGACCAUCCGGAAAGAUAACGCGGAGGGAGGCAGGCUCCGGCCUCAGUCCUCCUGGGGAAUCGCCCUCCAUCACGUGCACUGGGGCCAAAGACCCAGGUCACCCGGACAGUGAGGCACCGCGUGGCCUCGGAUGCCGUGGGAGGCUCCACCUGCCCCACACGCCAUGGCAAUCACUGCAGGGGCUACGGUCCCUCACACACAGACCACAGACGCAGGGGACAGGGACAGGGACAGGGACAGGGACAGGGACAGGGCUGGCCAACAGGCAAACACGCCCUGCAGCCUCCGGCGCCCAGAACUGAGGACGACACCGGGUCCGCCGGCCUCUGCAUAGAACAGCAGAUUCCACGCCGCCCACGAUCCCGCCAGCGCCGUGCAAAUGUACACACACCGAGCUUCGGUCACAUGAUGACAGUGCGCGUGAGUCACAGAUAACACGUCACAGGACACGGCUUGUGAUAGUUUUCCUGUCUUUCUCAUCUUCGUACCUGGAGCUGGAGUAUUUUCCGAGCAAAACCAUGAUCACAGCUUGAUUACAACACCCUGCUCUGUCAAAAAAAUGGGAUCAUUGCUUCAAAUGUCAGAUUAAAAAAGACCCAACGUGAGCCACCUCCACUAAAUAUAUUAUGCAUUCCUCUG
This is a long non-coding RNA of Canis lupus familiaris (dog), 1744 nucleotides long. RefSeq lists it as uncharacterized. Lineage: Eukaryota; Metazoa; Chordata; Mammalia; Carnivora; Canidae. The transcript is spliced from 4 exons. The record is from RefSeq and is a predicted model, not a curated record.